This 255-nucleotide ribosomal RNA is filed under the name uncultured bacterium. RNAcentral describes it as "partial 16S ribosomal RNA". It matches the Rfam family "Bacterial small subunit ribosomal RNA", at positions 524 to 776 of the family's 1533-position model. The record is from RNAcentral.
GACGAACCGUGCGAACGUUAUUCGGAAUCACUGGGCUUAAAGCGCGUGUAGGCGGGUGGGAACGUCGGCCGCUGAAAUCCCCCGGCUCAACCGGGGGAAGGGGCGCCGAAACGGCCCGCCUGGAGGGACGUAGGGGGAGCUGGAACUUCCGGUGGAGCGGUGAAAUGCGUUGAGAUCGGAAGGAACGCCCGUGGCGAAAGCGAGCUCCUGGACGUUUUCUGACGCUGAGACGCGAAAGCCAGGGGAGCGAACGGG